This 429-nucleotide ribosomal RNA is filed under the name Verrucomicrobiota bacterium. RNAcentral's name for it is "Verrucomicrobia bacterium partial 16S ribosomal RNA". It matches the Rfam family "Bacterial small subunit ribosomal RNA", at positions 355 to 776 of the family's 1533-position model. Lineage: Bacteria; Pseudomonadati; Verrucomicrobiota. The record is from RNAcentral.
UGGGGAAUCUUCCGCAAUGGACGAAAGUCUGACGGAGCAACGCCGCGUGAGUGAUGACGGUCUUCGGAUUGUAAAGCUCUGUUAAUCGGGACGAAUGGUUUGUGUGCAAAUAGUGCAUAGACAUGACGGUACCGGUAUAGAAAGCCACGGCUAACUACGUGCCAGCAGCCGCGGUAAUACGUAGGUGGCAAGCGUUGUCCGGAAUUAUUGGGCGUAAAGCGCGCGCAGGCGGACUAGCCAGUCAGUCUUAAAAGUUCGGGGCUUAACCCCGUGAUGGGAUUGAAACUACUAGUCUAGAGUAUCGGAGAGGAAAGUGGAAUUCCUAGUGUAGCGGUGAAAUGCGUAGAUAUUAGGAAGAACACCAGUGGCGAAGGCGACUUUCUGGACGAACACUGACGCUGAGGCGCGAAAGCCAGGGGAGCGAACGGG